Molecule: ribosomal RNA, 1522 nt
Filed under: wastewater metagenome
Description: bacterial LSU rRNA
Rfam family: Bacterial large subunit ribosomal RNA
Source: RNAcentral
GAUGCGGCAUACCCGAAGCUGAGUGAUCUAUCCAUGGGCAGGCUGAAGCGGAGGUAAGACUUCGUGGAGGGCCGAACCCACGUCGGCUGAAAACGGCGGGGAUGACCUGUGGAUCGGAGUGAAAGGCUAAUCAAACUCAGUUAUAUCUGGUUCUCCCCGAAAUAUAUUUUGGUAUAGCCUCAUGCGUUCAAUUGCGGCUGUAAAGCACUGUUUGGCCUAGGGGCCCUACCAGGUUACCGAAGUCAGAUAAACUCUGAAUACCGCAAUUCUAGAGCAUGGGAGUCAGACGGCGGGGGAUAAGCUUCGUCGUCGAGAGGGAAACAGCCCAGACCGUCAGCUAAGGACCCAAAGCGAUAGCUAAGUGGUAAACGUUGUACGAAUGCACAGACAACCAGGAUGUUGGCUUAGAGGCAGCCAUACGUUGAAAGAGUGCGUAAUAGCUCACUGGUCAAGUGUUCGUGCGCGGAUAAUGUAACGGGGCUCAAGCUAUCCUCCGAAGCUACGGACUUCAUCUUUGAUGGAGUGGUAGGGGAGCGUUCCGGCAGCAGUGAAGCAGACACGGCAAGUGUCUGUGGAGCGGCCGGAAGUGAGAAUGCUGGCAUAAGUAACGAAAGAGGGGCGAGAAACCCCUCCACUGAAUGCCCAAGGUUUCCUGAGUAAAGCUAAUCUGCUCAGGGUUAGUCGGGACCUAAGCCGAGGCCGAUAGGCGUAGGCGAUGGCCAGCAGGUUGAUAUUCCUGCACUACGUCUUCCACGUUUGACCGAUGGGGGGACGGGGAAGGGUAGACGAACCGUGGCGUUGGUUGUCCACGGACAUUGUCGUAGAGCGAGCUCUAGGAAAAUCCGGAGCUCACAUAGCUCAAGGACCGUGUCAGCCGGCUUCGUGCUGGCGAGUCGUUGAUCCCAUGCCUCCAAGAAAAUCCUCUAGGGAGUGGGAACGUACCCGUACCAAAUCCGACACAGGUGGGCAGGUAGAGCAUACCAAAGUGAUCGAGAGAACCCUCGUUAAGGAACUCGGCAAAAUGGUCCCGUAACUUCGGGAGAAGGGACGCCUCGGUAGAGUGACCGGAUUUACUCCGCGAGCUUGAGGAGGCCGCAGUGAUUUGGCCCAACCGACUGUUUACCAAAAACACAGGUCUCUGCGAAGUCGAAAGACGACGUAUAGGGACUGACGCCUGCCCGGUGCCGGAAGGUCACGCGGAGAGGUUAGCCUUCGGNNNNNNNNNNNNNNNNNNNNNNACGGUCCUAAGGUAGCGAAAUUCCUUGUCGGGUAAGUUCCGACCUGCACGAAUGGCGUAACGAGUUGGGCACUGUCUCAACGAGGGACUCGGUGAAAUUGUAGUGUCGGUGAAGAUGCCGACUACUCGCCACAAGACGGAAAGACCCCGUGAACCUUUACUACAGCUUGAUAUUGGGAUUUGGGACAUCCUGUCCAGGAUAGGUGGGAGGCUGUGAGACGGUGGCGUCAGCUGCCGUGGAGCCAACCUUGGGAUACCACCCUGGAUGUUCUGAAUUUCUAACAG